This 253-nucleotide ribosomal RNA is filed under the name uncultured bacterium. RNAcentral's name for it is "partial 16S ribosomal RNA". It matches the Rfam family "Bacterial small subunit ribosomal RNA", at positions 524 to 776 of the family's 1533-position model. The record is from RNAcentral.
CACGUAGGGUGCGAGCGUUGUCCGGAAUUAUUGGGCGUAAAGCGCGCGCAGGCGGCGGUGCUGGCCCGGCGUGAAAGCCCCCGGCUCAACCGGGGAGGGUCGUCGGGGACCGCACCGCUUGAGGGCGGGAGAGGUCGGUGGAAUUCCCGGUGUAGUGGUGAAAUGCGUAGAGAUCGGGAGGAACACCUGUGGCGAAGGCGGCCGACUGGGCCGACCCUGACGCUGAGGCGCGAAGGCGUGGGGAGCGAACGGG